UGCAAGUCGAGCGGAUGAAGGGAGCUCUGCUCCUGGAUUCAGCGGCGGACGGGUGAGUAAUGCCUAGGAAUCUGCCUGGUAGUGGGGGACAACGUUUCGAAAGGAACGCUAAUACCGCAUACGUCCUACGGGAGAAAGCAGGGGACCUUCGGGCCUUGCGCUAUCAGAUGAGCCUAGGUCGGAUUAGCUAGUUGGUGAGGUAAUGGCUCACCAAGGCGACGAUCCGUAACUGGUCUGAGAGGAUGAUCAGUCACACUGGAACUGAGACACGGUCCAGACUCCUACGGGAGGCAGCAGUGGGGAAUAUUGGACAAUGGGCGAAAGCCUGAUCCAGCCAUGCCGCGUGUGUGAAGAAGGUCUUCGGAUUGUAAAGCACUUUAAGUUGGGAGGAAGGGUUGUAGAUUAAUACUCUGCAAUUUUGACGUUACCGACAGAAUAAGCACCGGCUAACUCUGUGCCAGCAGCCGCGGUAAUACAGAGGGUGCAAGCGUUAAUCGGAAUUACUGGGCGUAAAGCGCGCGUAGGUGGUUUGUUAAGUUGGAUGUGAAAUCCCCGGGCUCAACCUGGGAACUGCAUCCAAAACUGGCAAGCUAGAGUAUGGUAGAGGGUGGUGGAAUUUCCUGUGUAGCGGUGAAAUGCGUAGAUAUAGGAAGGAACACCAGUGGCGAAGGCGACCACCUGGACUGAUACUGACACUGAGGUGCGAAAGCGUGGGGAGCAAACAGGAUUAGAUACCCUGGUAGUCCACGCCGUAAACGAUGUCAACUAGCCGUUGGGAGCCUUGAGCUCUUAGUGGCGCAGCUAACGCAUUAAGUUGACCGCCUGGGGGAGUACGGCCGCAAGGUUAAAACUCAAAUGAAUUGACGGGGGCCCGCACAAGCGGUGGAGCAUGUGGGUUUAAUUUCGAAGCACGCGAAGAACCUUUACCAGGCCUUUGACAUCCUAAUGACUUUCCAGAGAUUGGAUGUUGCUUCGGGAGCAUUGAGACCAGUGCCUGCCAUGCCUGUCGUCAGCUC
RNAcentral lists this ribosomal RNA (1016 nucleotides) under Pseudomonas sp. Its description in RNAcentral is "bacterial SSU rRNA". It matches the Rfam family "Bacterial small subunit ribosomal RNA", at positions 56 to 1061 of the family's 1533-position model. Lineage: Bacteria; Pseudomonadati; Pseudomonadota; Gammaproteobacteria; Pseudomonadales; Pseudomonadaceae. The record is from RNAcentral.